GCAGGUGUCUGCAGUUCCACCCAGAAGCAGCCCAUGGUCUAAUCUCUUUCUUCUUUGUAUUUGUUACAGGUCUAAUGAAAGGCUAUGAUGUGGAGUAGGCUGUGGCUGGUGGCUAGGGUACUGUGGUUGCAGAUAUUGAGACUGCAGAUUGGAAACAUAUCCUUUUAUAUUUCCAAGUAAAAUUAAACUUCCUCAAAUAUACCUGUCAAUUAUCAAGGUUAGUAUUUUUGUAGUUUGUCAUUUUAUUCAGUGAUUACAGGAGAAUAGCUCUUUUGUUAGACAAGGGUAUCUCUGAAUAUAUAAAGAGCCUGCUUAUCUUCUCAUUCUACCUGGUCUGAAUUAGACUUAUAAAACUCCCUGUGUUUUUACUGUAUCAUUCAAGAUUCAUUGC
RNAcentral lists this long non-coding RNA (391 nucleotides) under Sus scrofa (pig). RNAcentral describes it as "lncRNA (ENSSSCG00025051223.1, ENSSSCG00055002291.1, ENSSSCG00065018894.1)". Lineage: Eukaryota; Metazoa; Chordata; Mammalia; Artiodactyla; Suidae. The record is from RNAcentral.